This 366-nucleotide long non-coding RNA is filed under the name Homo sapiens (human). RNAcentral describes it as "non-protein coding LINC02423:3". Lineage: Eukaryota; Metazoa; Chordata; Mammalia; Primates; Hominidae. The record is from RNAcentral.
CGGAGAUCCAGGCUCCAGAAACAGAGGAAUUUCAGGCUUCAGGAUUUCAGAGGCCAAAUUCCAUCUGGCCUAGUCUGCCUGGCUCACGAUAAGAAAACCGAAGUUCACCAAAGUAAAGUGACUUGUCCAAGACCUCACAGCUAUCAAGUAGAGAAACUGGGAUUUGGAUGCAGGUCUGUCUGACUCCAGACACCGCGAUCUUAACCAUCGAGGCAGAGUUUCUACCUUUUAGGAAUUUCCAAAUAGAGGAGACAACCUCAGGACUUGAACAAUGCAGAAACACAGUCAAAAAUACAAAGAGCUAGGGAGUGAUGCCUAUAUUGUGCUGUGAGGGUUAAUAUCGCUUCCUGUCAAAGGACAAUCUAA